GACGAACGCUGGCGGCGUGCUUAACACAUGCAAGUCGAACGAAGAGCGAUGGAAGCUUGCUUCUAUCAAUCUUAGUGGCGAACGGGUGAGUAACGCGUAAUCAACCUGCCCUUCAGAGGGGGACAACAGUUGGAAACGACUGCUAAUACCGCAUACGAUCUAAUCUCGGCAUCGAGGAUAGAUGAAAGGUGGCCUCUACAUGUAAGCUAUCACUGAAGGAGGGGAUUGCGUCUGAUUAGCUAGUUGGAGGGGUAACGGCCCACCAAGGCGAUGAUCAGUAGCCGGUCUGAGAGGAUGAACGGCCACAUUGGGACUGAGACACGGCCCAGACUCCUACGGGAGGCAGCAGUGGGGAAUCUUCCGCAAUGGACGAAAGUCUGACGGAGCAACGCCGCGUGAGUGAUGACGGCCUUCGGGUUGUAAAGCUCUGUUAAUCGGGACGAAAGACCUUCUUGCGAAUAGUGAGAAGGAUUGACGGUACCGUAAUAGAAAGCCACGGCUAACUACGUG
RNAcentral lists this ribosomal RNA (510 nucleotides) under uncultured bacterium. RNAcentral's name for it is "partial 16S ribosomal RNA". It matches the Rfam family "Bacterial small subunit ribosomal RNA", at positions 28 to 507 of the family's 1533-position model. The record is from RNAcentral.